Molecule: transfer RNA, 67 nt
Filed under: Dallia pectoralis (Alaska blackfish)
Lineage: Eukaryota; Metazoa; Chordata; Actinopteri; Esociformes; Umbridae
Description: tRNA-OTHER
Source: RNAcentral
GUUGCUAUCUCAGCGGUAGAGUACAGGCUUUGUACGUAUGAUGUCCUGGGUUCAAUACCCAGCUUCU